Molecule: ribosomal RNA, 655 nt
Filed under: uncultured Bacilli bacterium
Lineage: Bacteria; Bacillati; Bacillota; Bacilli
Description: bacterial SSU rRNA
Rfam family: Bacterial small subunit ribosomal RNA
Source: RNAcentral
GUGGCGGACGGGUGAGUAACACGUGGGUAACCUGCCCUUAAGUGGGGGAUAACAUUUGGAAACAGAUGCUAAUACCGCAUAAAUCCAAGAACCGCAUGGUUCUUGGCUGAAAGAUGGCGCAAGCUAUCGCUUUUGGAUGGACCCGCGGCGUAUUAGCUAGUUGGUGAGGUAACGGCUCACCAAGGCAAUGAUACGUAGCCGAACUGAGAGGUUGAUCGGCCACAUUGGGACUGAGACACGGNCCAAACUCCUACGGGAGGCAGCAGUAGGGAAUCUUCCACAAUGGACGCAAGUCUGAUGGAGCAACGCCGCGUGAGUGAAGAAGGCUUUCGGGUCGUAAAACUCUGUUGUUGGAGAAGAAUGGUCGGCAGAGUAACUGUUGUCGGCGUGACGGUAUCCAACCAGAAAGCCACGGCUAACUACGUGCCAGCAGCCGCGGUAAUACGUAGGUGGCAAGCGUUAUCCGGAUUUAUUGGGCGUAAAGCGAGCGCAGGCGGUUUUUUAAGUCUGAUGUGAAAGCCCUCGGCUUAACCGAGGAAGUGCAUCGGAAACUGGGAAACUUGAGUGCAGAAGAGGACAGUGGAACUCCAUGUGUAGCGGUGAAUGCGUAGAUAUAUGGAAGAACACCAGUGGCGAAGGCGGCUGUCUGGUCUGU